This 497-nucleotide ribosomal RNA is filed under the name uncultured bacterium. Its description in RNAcentral is "partial 16S ribosomal RNA". It matches the Rfam family "Bacterial small subunit ribosomal RNA", at positions 28 to 523 of the family's 1533-position model. The record is from RNAcentral.
GAUGAACGCUGGCGGCGUGCUUAACACAUGCAAGUCGAACGAAGCACUCUAUUUGAUUUUUUUCGGAAAUGAAGAUUUUGUGACUGAGUGGCGGACGGAUGAGUGACGCGUGGGUAACCUGCCUCAUACAGGGGGAUAACAGUUGGAAACGACUGCUAAUACCGCAUAAGCGCACGGUAUCGCAUGGUACAGUGUGAAAAACUCCGGUGGUAUGAGAUGGACCCGCGUCUGAUUAGCUAGUUGGUGGGGCAACGGCCUACCAAGGCGACGAUCAGUAGCCGACCUGAGAGGGUGACCGGCCACAUUGGGACUGAGACACGGCCCAAACUCCUACGGGAGGCAGCAGUGGGGAAUAUUGCACAAUGGGGGAAACCCUGAUGCAGCGACGCCGCGUGAACGAAGAAGUAUUUCGGUAUGUAAAGUUCUAUCAGCAGGGAAGAUAAUGACGGUACCUGACUAAGAAGCACCGGCUAAAUACGUGCCAGCCGCCGCCGUAA